AACUCCUAUCCCCCUCUCACUCUCGUUUCUUCUCCUAGCUUUCGUCCCUUGCCGGAAAUCGCUCCGCCGUGCCGGAGGAGGCGGAGCUCGGCCAAACUUUAAUUACCACCUCAUUCUAAUCCUCUCUUCAACCUCUACCGCAGUCGAGGAGCGUUUCAAGUUAAAAGGGGAAAGAAGAACACUAGGUCAUAGAUACGGUAGAUUCAAGUCUAAAUAGCAGUGAAUUCACAUAAUUAUGGACGAGGCAAGCAUCGUAACAACGAGUAAUGAUCAGAGAACGAGAGAACAGAGGGUUUAUAUCCACUUACCUGCCGGAAUGGAGAUUAAACAUGAAGAAGACGAAGGCGAGAAUCCAAGCUUGAUGUAUACCGAAUGCGCGAAAUAAACGCCGCUGACAAGAGAAAGCUCCAAUUUCUGGUUCUGCAACAGUUUGGAAGAUGAUUUGCAGAGUUAACAUAUGGGUGGCUGGAGAUGGAUGUUAAAGCUGGUUUUUAUAGGUUAUUUGUUCCGGUGCUGUUAGCGGUAUUUUGCGGGUUAGAAUGCUUUGGAAUUCUGUGGUUUGACGGUGUUUAGUCGAUUUGUGGAUAAUUAGUGUUAGAAAUCAUGCUUGAGUAACAUAGUUGAACCUUAAACUGAAUGAUAGAUAGUGUAGGUGUAUUAUGAAUGCUGCAGGGACGCUUUUUAUGUCCUUUGAGGGGUUAUUGUUGGCUGUAGGUUUUGAAAUUGUUAGAAGUUGAAUGUUGUAGAUUCUGAUAAACGUAUGGCUGCAACUUGUUUGGGAAUAUAAUUGUGCAGGGACUGUUUUUUGGUAUGGAUGUGGCUGCAGGAUUUCUAGAAGCUGUUUGCAGCAUGUUCAUUGAAUCCGGAUGCGACUUUGUUUCGGUUUGGAGGAUGAGUCUGGCUGCAGCUAAUUCCGUGUUGGUUUUAAAUUGCAGCAAGCUAGUGUACUUCUAUUUUUUGUGUUUGUAGAAUUUCGGUUUGCAGGAUGGGUAUUUAUUGUAACUUGUAACAUUUUUUUUUGUAUGGAAUGUAACAUGAUAUAGAUGAUAUCCUGGAUUUGUAGUAAGGAAUGGAGAGGAUGGAGCUGACUUAGAAAAAUAGUUUAAAGGAACCGAAAGUCAAAUUAAAAAAUUAUUGUAAUUUCCUUAUGUAAUGGUAUUUUUGAAUUUUGAAUAAUGUAAUUUUCUUUGGAA
Vicia villosa (hairy vetch) is the source of this 1193-nucleotide long non-coding RNA. RefSeq lists it as uncharacterized. NCBI's taxonomy places the organism in Eukaryota, Viridiplantae, Streptophyta, Magnoliopsida, Fabales, Fabaceae. The transcript has 3 exons. The record is from RefSeq and is a predicted model, not a curated record.